This 1046-nucleotide long non-coding RNA is filed under the name Felis catus (domestic cat). RNAcentral's name for it is "lncRNA (ENSFCAG00000051713.1)". Lineage: Eukaryota; Metazoa; Chordata; Mammalia; Carnivora; Felidae. The record is from RNAcentral.
GGCUGGGCACACAGGGGGCACACAAAUGGGGACGAAGUCUGAGCGCACUGGGAAUGAGCACACAGGGCACGUGCACACUGGAGAUGAUCACCGUCACCAUCACCAUCAUUAUCAUCAUAUCUAAUCUUUAAACGGACCCCAUGCCAGAAGGCAAUUAAGUGCCCUGUCUACAUUAGCUCACUUAAUUCUCCUGACAGCCUUUUAAUGCAUGCACUUUACAGGUGCAGAACCCAGAACACAGGGGGUACGUUGACUUGCGCCCCGACACAAGGCCACACGAGCAGGGACUGAGUAGCCAGGAUUGGAAGCACAGCGUGACUGCCCACUCUCGGGUCUGCGCCCUUCAGGGAUGUUCAGACGGACAUGGUUUGCCCCGGCGAAGCCUGGAAACAACUCACACAAUCCCGAGAGUGAAACACUGUGGGGCAGGGAAAUCAGGCAGUGGACAAGCCCAGGCCUCCCAGUGCAUGAAGCUCACGAGAAGAAAACUUCAAGUCACACAAUUUACACAACGUAAUUCCGUUGUGAAAGUCCAAAAACUGGCAAAAUCCGGCCAUCUUUCGCUUAGCAAUGGGUCUGCGUGCGGUAAUAUCUUAAACAAGCUUCUCUGUGACCCUCAACUAGAGAAGAAAACAAACGGUGAUUAGGAGCUUCUAGACUCUGGCUCCUUCCCGUAGCGCCCUCCUCAGAAUGUCUCCCCUGCUCUCAACUCCAGCCCCAGAUGACCCUCCACCCCAGCCAGGUGCCCUGGCUCCACCAAAUGGGAAAAACAAUCCACAAAUUUCCAUUUACGGCGCAUGUCGGUUUGUGCAAAAAUAUCACAGGUCAUUAUCUUUGUUUAAAUUAACUUGAGGGGCGCCUGCGUGGCUCAGUCGGUUAAGCAUCCAACUUCGGCUCAGGUCAUAAUCUCACGGUUCAUGGGUUCAAGCCCCGCGUCGGGUUCUGUGCUGACAGCUCAGAGCCUGGAACCUGCUUUGGAUUCUGUGUGUCCCUCUCUCUCUGCCCCUUCCCUAUCAUGAUCUGUCUCUCUCUCUCUCUCUCCUCUC